GGUUAAGCGACUAAGCGUACACGGUGGAUGCCCUGGCAGUCAGAGGCGAUGAAGGACGUGCUAAUCUGCGAUAAGCGUCGGUAAGGUGAUAUGAACCGUUAUAACCGGCGAUUUCCGAAUGGGGAAACCCAGUGUGUUUCGACACACUAUCAUUAACUGAAUCCAUAGGUUAAUGAGGCGAACCGGGGGAACUGAAACAUCUAAGUACCCCGAGGAAAAGAAAUCAACCGAGAUUCCCCCAGUAGCGGCGAGCGAACGGGGAGCAGCCCAGAGCCUGAAUCAGUGUGUGUGUUAGUGGAAGCGUCUGGAAAGGCGCGCGAUACAGGGUGACAGCCCCGUACACAAAAAUGCACAUGCUGUGAGCUCGAUGAGUAGGGCGGGACACGUGGUAUCCUGUCUGAAUAUGGGGGGACCAUCCUCCAAGGCUAAAUACUCCUGACUGACCGAUAGUGAACCAGUACCGUGAGGGAAAGGCGAAAAGAACCCCGGCGAGGGGAGUGAAAAAGAACCUGAAACCGUGUACGUACAAGCAGUGGGAGCACGCUUAGGCGUGUGACUGCGUACCUUUUGUAUAAUGGGUCAGCGACUUAUAUUCUGUAGCAAGGUUAACCGAAUAGGGGAGCCGAAGGGAAACCGAGUCUUAACUGGGCGUUAAGUUGCAGGGUAUAGACCCGAAACCCGGUGAUCUAGCCAUGGGCAGGUUGAAGGUUGGGUAACACUAACUGGAGGACCGAACCGACUAAUGUUGAAAAAUUAGCGGAUGACUUGUGGCUGGGGGUGAAAGGCCAAUCAAACCGGGAGAUAGCUGGUUCUCCCCGAAAGCUAUUUAGGUAGCGCCUCGUGAAUUCAUCUCCGGGGGUAGAGCACUGUUUCGGCAAGGGGGUCAUCCCGACUUACCAACCCGAUGCAAACUGCGAAUACCGGAGAAUGUUAUCACGGGAGACACACGGCGGGUGCUAACGUCCGUCGUGAAGAGGGAAACAACCCAGACCGCCAGCUAAGGUCCCAAAGUCAUGGUUAAGUGGGAAACGAUGUGGGAAGGCCCAGACAGCCAGGAUGUUGGCUUAGAAGCAGCCAUCAUUUAAAGAAAGCGUAAUAGCUCACUGGUCGAGUCGGCCUGCGCGGAAGAUGUAACGGGGCUAAACCAUGCACCGAAGCUGCGGCAGCGACGCUUAUGCGUUGUUGGGUAGGGGAGCGUUCUGUAAGCCUGUGAAGGUGUACUGUGAGGUAUGCUGGAGGUAUCAGAAGUGCGAAUGCUGACAUAAGUAACGAUAAAGCGGGUGAAAAGCCCGCUCGCCGGAAGACCAAGGGUUCCUGUCCAACGUUAAUCGGGGCAGGGUGAGUCGACCCCUAAGGCGAGGCCGAAAGGCGUAGUCGAUGGGAAACAGGUUAAUAUUCCUGUACUUGGUGUUACUGCGAAGGGGGGACGGAGAAGGCUAUGUUGGCCGGGCGACGGUUGUCCCGGUUUAAGCGUGUAGGCUGGUUUUCCAGGCAAAUCCGGAAAAUCAAGGCUGAGGCGUGAUGACGAGGCACUACGGUGCUGAAGCAACAAAUGCCCUGCUUCCAGGAAAAGCCUCUAAGCAUCAGGUAACAUCAAAUCGUACCCCAAACCGACACAGGUGGUCAGGUAGAGAAUACCAAGGCGCUUGAGAGAACUCGGGUGAAGGAACUAGGCAAAAUGGUGCCGUAACUUCGGGAGAAGGCACGCUGAUAUGUAGGUGAAGUCCCUCGCGGAUGGAGCUGAAAUCAGUCGAAGAUACCAGCUGGCUGCAACUGUUUAUUAAAAACACAGCACUGUGCAAACACGAAAGUGGACGUAUACGGUGUGACGCCUGCCCGGUGCCGGAAGGUUAAUUGAUGGGGUCAGCGCAAGCGAAGCUCUUGAUCGAAGCCCCGGUAAACGGCGGCCGUAACUAUAACGGUCCUAAGGUAGCGAAAUUCCUUGUCGGGUAAGUUCCGACCUGCACGAAUGGCGUAAUGAUGGCCAGGCUGUCUCCACCCGAGACUCAGUGAAAUUGAACUCGCUGUGAAGAUGCAGUGUACCCGCGGCAAGACGGAAAGACCCCGUGAACCUUUACUAUAGCUUGACACUGAACAUUGAGCCUUGAUGUGUAGGAUAGGUGGGAGGCUUUGAAGUGUGGACGCCAGUCUGCAUGGAGCCGACCUUGAAAUACCACCCUUUAAUGUUUGAUGUUCUAACGUUGACCCGUAAUCCGGGUUGCGGACAGUGUCUGGUGGGUAGUUUGACUGGGGCGGUCUCCUCCUAAAGAGUAACGGAGGAGCACGAAGGUUGGCUAAUCCUGGUCGGACAUCAGGAGGUUAGUGCAAUGGCAUAAGCCAGCUUGACUGCGAGCGUGACGGCGCGAGCAGGUGCGAAAGCAGGUCAUAGUGAUCCGGUGGUUCUGAAUGGAAGGGCCAUCGCUCAACGGAUAAAAGGUACUCCGGGGAUAACAGGCUGAUACCGCCCAAGAGUUCAUAUCGACGGCGGUGUUUGGCACCUCGAUGUCGGCUCAUCACAUCCUGGGGCUGAAGUAGGUCCCAAGGGUAUGGCUGUUCGCCAUUUAAAGUGGUACGCGAGCUGGGUUUAGAACGUCGUGAGACAGUUCGGUCCCUAUCUGCCGUGGGCGCUGGAGAACUGAGGGGGGCUGCUCCUAGUACGAGAGGACCGGAGUGGACGCAUCACUGGUGUUCGGGUUGUCAUGCCAAUGGCACUGCCCGGUAGCUAAAUGCGGAAGAGAUAAGUGCUGAAAGCAUCUAAGCACGAAACUUGCCCCGAGAUGAGUUCUCCCUGACUCCUUGAGAGUCCUGAAGGAACGUUGAAGACGACGACGUUGAUAGGCCGGGUGUGUAAGCGCAGCGAUGCGUUGAGCUAACCGGUACUAAUGAACCGUGAGGCUUAACCUU
This 2904-nucleotide ribosomal RNA is filed under the name Escherichia coli. RNAcentral describes it as "23S ribosomal RNA". It matches the Rfam family "Bacterial large subunit ribosomal RNA". The record is from RNAcentral. Lineage: Bacteria; Pseudomonadati; Pseudomonadota; Gammaproteobacteria; Enterobacterales; Enterobacteriaceae. RNAcentral also lists the same sequence under 1 other name.